This 77-nucleotide transfer RNA is filed under the name Candidatus Cloacimonadota bacterium. Its description in RNAcentral is "Candidatus Cloacimonetes bacterium (wastewater metagenome) tRNA-Pro". It matches the Rfam family "tRNA". Rfam says of the family: Transfer RNA (tRNA) molecules are approximately 80 nucleotides in length. Their secondary structure includes four short double-helical elements and three loops (D, anti-codon, and T loops). Further hydrogen bonds mediate the characteristic L-shaped molecular structure. tRNAs have two regions of fundamental functional importance: the anti-codon, which is responsible for specific mRNA codon recognition, and the 3' end, to which the tRNAs corresponding amino acid is attached (by aminoacyl-tRNA synthetases). tRNAs cope with the degeneracy of the genetic code in two manners: having more than one tRNA (with a specific anti-codon) for a particular amino acid; and 'wobble' base-pairing, i.e. permitting non-standard base-pairing at the 3rd anti-codon position. The record is from RNAcentral. Lineage: Bacteria; Pseudomonadati; Candidatus Cloacimonadota.
CGGGCCGUAGCGCAGCCUGGUAGCGCACACGUCUGGGGGGCGUGGGGUCGCUGGUUCAAAUCCAGUCGGCCCGACCA